GACGAACGCUGGCGGCGUGCUUAACACAUGCAAGUCGAACGGAAAGGCCCUGCUUUUGUGGGGUGCUCGAGUGGCGAACGGGUGAGUAACCCGUGAGUAACCUGCCCUUGACUUUGGGAUAACUUCAGGAAACUGGGGCUAAUACCGGAUAGGAGCUCCUGCUGCAUGGUGGGGGUUGGAAGGUUUCGGCGGUUGGGGAUGGACUCGCGGCUUAUCAGCUUGUUGGUGGGGUAGUGGCUUACCAAGGCUUUGACGGGUAGCCGGCCUGAGAGGGUGACCGGCCACAUUGGGACUGAGAUACGGCCCAGACUCCUACGGGAGGCAGCAGUGGGGAAUAUUGCACAAUGGGCGGAAGCCUGAUGCAGCAACGCCGCGUGCGGGAUGACGGCCUUCGGGUUGUAAACCGCUUUCGCCUGUGACGAAGCGUGAGUGACGGUAAUGGGUAAAGAAGCACCGGCUAACUACGUG
Molecule: ribosomal RNA, 468 nt
Filed under: uncultured bacterium
Lineage: Bacteria
Description: partial 16S ribosomal RNA
Rfam family: Bacterial small subunit ribosomal RNA
Source: RNAcentral